Molecule: transfer RNA, 67 nt
Filed under: Marmota monax (woodchuck)
Lineage: Eukaryota; Metazoa; Chordata; Mammalia; Rodentia; Sciuridae
Description: tRNA.Val
Source: RNAcentral
UUAUGGCUCAGUGGUAGAGUGCUCGCCUCACACGUGCAAGGUCCUGGGUUCAAUCCUCAGCAAUAAA